GCACUGCUGAUGAGUCCCAUACCAAGGCGAAACGGCCGUCCAGUGU
Non-coding RNA from Schistosoma margrebowiei, 46 nucleotides. The record is from Rfam. Lineage: Eukaryota; Metazoa; Platyhelminthes; Trematoda; Strigeidida; Schistosomatidae.